This 440-nucleotide ribosomal RNA is filed under the name uncultured bacterium. RNAcentral describes it as "partial 16S ribosomal RNA". It matches the Rfam family "Bacterial small subunit ribosomal RNA", at positions 338 to 795 of the family's 1533-position model. The record is from RNAcentral.
CCUACGGGGUGCAGCAGUGGGGGAUAUUGCACAAUGGGGGAAACCCUGAUGCAGCGACGCCGCGUGGGUGAAGAAGCGCCUCGGCGCGUAAAGCCCUGUCAGCAGGGAAGAAAAUGACGGUACCUGAAGAAGAAGCCCCGGCUAACUACGUGCCAGCAGCCGCGGUAAUACGUAGGGGGCAAGCGUUAUCAGGAUUUACUGGGUGUAAAGGGGGCGCAGACGGCGAUGCAAGCCAGGAGUGAAAGCCCGGGGCCCAACCCCGGGACUGCUCUUGGAACUGCGUGGCUAGAGUGCAGGAGGGGCAGGCGGAAUUCGUGGUGUAGCGGUGAAAUGCGUAGAUAUCAGGAGGAACACCGGUGGCGAAGGCGGCCUGCUGGACUGCAACUGACGUUGAGGCCCGAAAGCGUGGGGAGCAAACAGGAUUAGAUACCCGAGUAGUC